UCAAGCGACUAAGUGCAUGUGGUGGAUGCCUUGGCGAUCACAGGCGAUGAAGGACGUGUAAGCCUGCGAAAAGCUUCGGGGAGCUGGCAAUAAAGCUUUGAUCCGAAGAUGUCCGAAUGGGGAAACCCACCCGCAAGGGUAUCGCUUACUGAAUACAUAGGUAAGCGAGGCGAACCCGGUGAACUGAAACAUCUAAGUAGCCGGAGGAAAAGAAAUCAACCGAGAUUCCGUAAGUAGUGGCGAGCGAACACGGAAGAGCCUGCUAGUGAUAGCGGAACUGUUAGGAGAACGGAAUGGAAAGUCCGGCCGUAGUGGGUGAUAGCCCCGUAUUCGAAAACAGAUCCGUGGUACUAAGUUAGCGAAAAGUAGGGCGGGGCACGUGAAACCUUGUCUGAACAUGGGGGGACCAUCCUCCAAGGCUAAAUACUCGUGAUCGACCGAUAGUGAACUAGUACCGUGAGGGAAAGGCGAAAAGAACCCCGGGAGGGGAGUGAAAUAGAACCUGAAACCGCAUGCAUACAAACAGUGGGAGCCUCCUUGAGGGGUGACUGCGUACCUUUUGUAUAAUGGGUCAGCGACUUACGUUGUGUUGCGAGCUUAACCGAAUAGGGGAGGCGUAGCGAAAGCGAGUCUGAUAAGGGCGUUUAGUAGCACGGCGUAGACCCGAAACCGGAUGAUCUAUCCAUGGCCAGGAUGAAGGUGCCGUAACAGGUACUGGAGGUCCGAACCCACUAACGUUGAAAAGUUAGGGGAUGAGCUGUGGAUAGGGGUGAAAGGCUAAACAAAUCCGGAAAUAGCUGGUUCUCCCCGAAAACUAUUUAGGUAGUGCGUCACAUAUCACUUCCGGGGGUAAAGCACUGUUAUGGCUAGGGGGUCAUCGCGACUUACCAAACCAUGGCAAACUCUGAAUACCGGAAAGUGCGAGUGUGGCAGACAGACAGUGGGUGCUAACGUCCAUUGUCAAGAGGGAAACAACCCAGACCGCCAGCUAAGGUCCCAAAGACAUGGUUAAGUGGGAAACGAAGUGGGAAGGCAUAGACAGCUAGGAGGUUGGCUUAGAAGCAGCCAUCCUUUAAAGAAAGCGUAAUAGCUCACUAGUCGAGUCGUCCUGCGCGGAAGAUGUAACGGGGCUCAAACCAUGCACCGAAGCUGCGGAUAUCCGUAAGGAUAUGGUAGGGGAGCGUUCUGUAGGUCUGUGAAGGUGUCUUGUAAAGGAUGCUGGAGAUAUCAGAAGUGCGAAUGCUGACAUGAGUAGCGAUAAAGGGAGUGAAAAGCUCCCUCGCCGAAAGCCCAAGGUUUCCUACGCAACGUUCAUCGGCGUAGGGUGAGUCGGCCCCUAAGGCGAGGCAGAAAUGCGUAGUCGAUGGGAAACAGGUCAAUAUUCCUGUACCGGCUCUAGAUGCGAUGUGGGGACGGAGAAGGUUAGGUCAGCCAACUGUUGGAAUAGUUGGUUUAAGCGUGUAGGCGUGCCCCUUAGGCAAAUCCGGGGGGCUAAGCUGAGGCGUGAUGACGAGGCACUACGGUGCUGAAGUGAUUGAUACCAAGCUUCCAGGAAAAGCCACUAAGCUUCAGUCUAGAGACGACCGUACCGCAAACCGACACAGGUGGGCAGGAUGAAAAUUCUAAGGCGCUUGAGAGAACUCAGGAGAAGGAACUCGGCAAAUUGACACCGUAACUUCGGGAGAAGGUGUGCCCCGGUAGGUUGUAGAGCCUCGCGCUCGAAGGCCGAUGGGGUUGCAGUGAAAUGGUGGCUGCGACUGUUUAAUAAAAACACAGCACUCUGCAAACACGAAAGUGGACGUAUAGGGUGUGACGCCUGCCCGGUGCCGGAAGGUUAAGUGAUGGGGUGCAAGCUCUUGAUCGAAGCCCCGGUAAACGGCGGCCGUAACUAUAACGGUCCUAAGGUAGCGAAAUUCCUUGUCGGGUAAGUUCCGAC
This 1936-nucleotide ribosomal RNA is filed under the name sludge metagenome. Its description in RNAcentral is "bacterial LSU rRNA". It matches the Rfam family "Bacterial large subunit ribosomal RNA", at positions 3 to 1987 of the family's 2925-position model. The record is from RNAcentral.